This 571-nucleotide long non-coding RNA is filed under the name Homo sapiens (human). RNAcentral's name for it is "non-protein coding lnc-BCKDHB-1:6". The record is from RNAcentral. Lineage: Eukaryota; Metazoa; Chordata; Mammalia; Primates; Hominidae.
UUUUUUCCUUGAAUGUGAACACAUGAGUGAAGCAUACAUCCAUUGUCCAUGGGGCAAGAAACAUGAGGAUGAAAAGCCAAUAUGUUAAGGACAUGAAGUGAAAAGCGGGAAGAGCUUCUUAUUCAUGUUAUCACUGAGCAGCGGGAACUGGGGGCUCUGCUCAUUAUAGUUGCCCACGGCCUCCAGUCAAUGAAAUUUCCGGCCAAUGAAAUGCUCUACUGUGACUGAAGCAGCAAAGAGAAGAUGUUCUGCCGGAGGCCUCUCCAGAUUGUGAUGCACUGGGAGCAAGCCACCAUGAACAUAUCCUCAGGUCUCCAGUCUUCUGCCAUCGCAUGAAAAAUGGAGCUUGUCAAACACAGAGCAGAGCUGAACUUUCUGAAUUCCACAGGACAGUUCAGAGUGCUUGGAAUGACACCCACCUGCAAUUUAAACAAAAAAGAAGGAUGAGUAAGUGAGGAGCUAAAAAUUGCAUGUUUCCCUAAAUUAGAUUUAUUUGUAAGCUUUAAGUAAGUGCAAACAUAUUUCGAAUUAUCUGUUAUGAAUUGUGGUUUUGUUAUUAAAUAGACAUUUU